This is a long non-coding RNA of Apis cerana (Asiatic honeybee), 15308 nucleotides long. RefSeq lists it as uncharacterized. Lineage: Eukaryota; Metazoa; Arthropoda; Insecta; Hymenoptera; Apidae. The record is from RefSeq and is a predicted model, not a curated record.
AGUCGGAAAGCUGUUUCGCGCGUGUCUUACAGCGAGCGAUUAGUUUCGAGAUAUAUCGAUAUUUCAAGGAUGAUCGAAUCAUUACGUAUCAAAAUACGUAUUGCUCUUCGUUAUAUUCUGAUAUUGUUACGGAAUUAUUGACAUAUACGUAAUUUCAAUAAUUAUCGUUUCUCUCGUGUGAUUUAAAAAUGUACAAUUAGAAAGUUAUUACGAAGCAGAAAAAUCUAAAAAAGGUUCUCUCGAAUCCAUUUCUACCAUAAUUUUCUUAUAAUUAUCUUCGUUCAAAGUAGUAGUAGGGAAUAAUAAAAACUGAUAAACGUCACUUUCUAACCAAAGGCGAAACAAAUAUUUUUAAGCAGAAUAUAUCUACAACUUUUUAUCGUAAUGAAGAGAAAAGAUUGUGUUCUGUUCGAUUCAAGAAACUAUCGAAAAAAUCGAUAAUCGAGAUCUAUUCUUUUUUCGAAGAUUAACGGGAAACUGAUAAAAGGAAAUAUCGACGAAAGUUCGCUGGUGGCUUGUAUAUACUGCGCAAAUGCUCUCCCGCCUCUUGGAAUAUUACUCGGUUGCCCAAGGUUGCCGUUCGUUCUGUUCACGACUCGAGCAUUAUGCACGUGUAUAGAUAUAUCAACCACGCAUUUACAACGAUACACCUCUACAUAUUUACGAUACACGCGUAGUAGAUCUAUCUCUCUAACGUCCACACACGAUAUAAGAGAAUACAUGUUUCCUAACCUUUUCUCUAUUCCGUUACAUUUAUUUCAUGUGCAUUUUUUUUUAUUAACCAAAUAAUUAACUAUUCAAUAACUCAAAUUAUUUGAUUAAUUAGAAAAAUAAUAACGAAGAACUUUUUCAUUCUUUUUAAAACGAAAUAGAAAAAAAAUAUCGAGUAGAUUCAUAAAUAUUUUUUCACACUCUACUCUAACAGGUUGAAAACGUGACACGGUAAUGGGUGACGAAAUUGGGAAACUCUGCGCGCGCAAUGUACCUAUUCUUUGUUCAUUUCUCGGCUUUUAAGAGCACGUCUCGCAUCGAUGCAUGGCAAUUAUUGAUAUGUGUGUGAAAACCGACAAGAGAUACAUUGAGCAUCGUUUAUUAUAUGCACAUAGGAAUAUGUGCACAUACUCAUCGGUACUAGGGCCUCUCCCUUCGGAACUGUCGGCGACGGUUCAGUAAUGCUGGUCGCUAGUACGAUACGGAUCAACGAUUUAAUGUGAACACACCAGCAGCCUCUCUUUAUUUCUAUAGUCGAAUCAUUUCACAUCGAUCGAUCGUUUCUGUGAUACGCGGAAUCUUACUUUCCCUGAAACUCUAUUUCUUUUAUAAUUGCUUUUUUCAUUUUUAUUUUCUGUGAAAUCUGUUUUGAAAAUCAAUUUUACGCACAAAAUAUAUUUUACCAAAUGAAUCCUAAUGGAAAAAAGGAAAAAAUGAUUAUUCAUCUAUUUGGAGAAAUCACUUUCUUUGUAAUGAAAAAAAUAUGUUAUUUUAGAACAUUCAUCGAUGAUAAGAAACGAUGAUGAAACAAAAUCAUUUCUAACGUUUAUAUUAACGUGAAUGAGCACACUAAUUACUUCCUAUUUUGAAAUGUGUUAAAUAUAAAUAUAAAAUAUACUUCUUCAUAUACGUACAGUAUAUAUAACUCUGCUACGAGCACUUCUCACUAGUUAAGAAUAGAUUAAAAAAUUGAUUCUUUAAAAGCUUAAUAAAUAAAAUGUAACUAAGCACGUUGCUUUCUAAUCAUUUAUUUAUGAGACUAUUUUCAGCAUCGAAAUGCAUAUAUUACAAUCGUAAACGUGUUAUAGAAGUGUGUGAUAUUUGUGGAGUCGAUUUGGUCUUCGUUUACAUAAUCUACGUCUUCUACAAACGUACAAUAGAUGAUUACGAAUCAUUUGAAUUUGACGUCAAAAAAUUAAUUGCACAAAACGAAACGUUGUCGUUUAAUGUGCAUAUAUUUCGCGUUUCCUUAUGUCUGAACAAACGUGUUAAAGUACUGUUCCUUUCAAUUGCAUUGUCCUUGAGGUUAGAAGACAAGGAACGACGCAAUUCUCACAAUUAGUGCCUCUCUAUUUAAGUUUCUUUCACGCUCUAUUAUCAUCCAAUUUUAAUGCCUGUUGAAAAUAUAUACUAAAAUAUUAAUAAAAACCACAUUUAUCAAAUUUUUGAUUUGUUUCUUUCAACUUAAGUCUGUUUAUUCAUAUUUGCGAAUAUUAUAUAUUUCUAAACGACAUCUAUAAUUUACGACCAAUGAACCUUUGCUACUGUCGAUAAAUCAGUCAACUUCCUAACGUAUCAUGAAAACCUUAACAAAUUUCGAAAGUUAAAUUUAGAACAAUAAUCGUAAGAAAAGUAACUAAAAAAAUAGUUCAAGAAAAUGAUGACUAUAAUGAAAAUAUAAUAUUAACAGCUGUCAAAAGCAUUUAGAAACGUAGAUUGACGCGCGCAUACAGCUGAUAAUGAUUAUGUAAGAUAUACAACGCGCAGUAAAAUGUCAUCCAUUAUACGAUUAUAUCGUAAUCCAAUCAUCUUCAGAAUUUUCGAAGAAAACGGAUUAUCUUGAAACAAACAAUCAUUACGUGUUUUUACUUUUCCGAAUCAUAUCCUCACAUGUCAAAUAAUUGUGUCUCACAACGUACGAUACUUCAAAUCUUAUAAUUAGAGCUUUAUGCUCGAAUUUCAACCAUAAAAUUCGCUAGAAUCUCUAGCUAGUGAUAUAAAGGAAAGAAAAAAAUUCGUUUUACAUGGGAUGCUAGGUGGAUCGAUCGAGCACAAGUUUGGAAAGAAUGAAUGAGAACGGAAUGAAGACGUUGUACAAGAAUAUCACGAAAGAAUCGGGUCAAGGAUCAUCUUGCCACUGAAUGACAGAUACAUUAUUAUUUUUUAUUUUACAAGAGAUAAUACAGGUAUUACUCACUGUUUCCUCGUCUCACUGCGUGCUUUGGACCUCCGAUAUCGCUCCGGUAUCCGGUGGUUAACAAUCGACGAGGCUUGAGAAAUAUCCUGGUUAGAAGCACUCGCGAUUUUUGCCUGCGAUCAUGAAGCGAGAUCGGUUUGUUGGUUGGUCUAAAAGGGUUAGAAAAAGAAGUGGUGUCGCUAACGGACACACGAACGUGCCCCGCUCGCCGUCCACCGUUGAACUGAUUUCUGGCUCCUUUGUUUAGUAAACAGAAACAGCUGAGCCACACUACUAGUUACGAGAGGUAGAGGUGGCGGGAGCUUGAUCCACUCUUCCCGCACAACGCUCACCAUACUACGCAAGCGCGUUUCUCCGCAAGCGUCACGUGGUCUUACAUGUUUAACCAAUUGGAAAAUAGCAUUGCGGACAGUAUCGUAUUGCGAUAUAUUACACUGUAGAAUUAAAAUAAAAUAUUAUUCAAUAAUAUUAAAUCAAAAAUAUUUAAUAGAUAUAACUAAUUUAAAUAAGAUUUUUAACAUAAAAUUAUGUUCAUUAUUAAUUGUAUUAUUAUCAUUAUAAUUAUAUGUAAUGCAAUGUAAUUGUUCUUAUUAUCAUUUCAUUUAAAACCGUAUAAAAAUAUAUUUUUAAUUAAAUAAUAAAUAUUAAGAAUUUUAUUAUAAGGAAAAAAGGCAUUAAUUAAUGCAACGGAAAAAAAAUUUUAUAUAAAUUAAUUGUAAAACGCGAAUUUAUAAUACAUCGAUAAUGUAGAAAUAUAAUAUAUAUAUAUAAUUGACAUAAAACUUACCAUCAAAUCAGAAAAUCAUGAAAACACCAUAAAUAUUCUUUAUUUCAUUAUGCGAAAUAUAAGAUAUAUCUAAAUUUGGAAUAAAAUUCAAUGAAGGAAUAAUAGCAAAAUUCUGAUACAAAAAUUUAUAAAUUUACCAAGCUAAAAGAAAAAAGUAUGAAAUAAUAUUAUUAUUAAUGUAAUUUUGUUUGAUAAUAAUUAAUUAAAAUCUUGUGAUGUUUUUCAAAUAAUUGAUUUAUCAUUAACCCAAUUUCAUCCUUUAAACAAUGUUAUAUUAUUUAUUGAUACAUAGAAUUUAUCAAUAAUACCAUUAGCUAACAGUAUUACACUUGCCUCUAUUUCUUCGAAAAUUGUCAUUUUCUCGUUCCUUGUUUGCGAAAUUAUAAUACAUGUAUCAAAGAGCAGUUUACUUUCUUUGAUCGUCUUUUUUUAUCUGUUGAAGUUGUUUGUCAUACAUCAUAAUUAAUUACUAUUCAAUCACAAUUACAGAUCAUACAUACACGUAUAAUUACACAUUACGACAUUACAUACAUGUGUUUCUGUAUUAUAUAUUUAUAUAUGUAUAUUUAUAUAUUUAUAAAUUACAGAUCGUAGAUUAGAGGUACUCUAUUUCGAUAUCUUUGGGAAUGUUUUGACACUCUUAAUCUUUUUCUUUCUAUAGUCGAUGCCGUUAGAAAUUAUUUGUAAUAAUCGAAACGAAAUAUAUUUUUCUACUCGUCUUACGUGCUUUUCGAGAUCAAAUUUCGUGCACAUGUUUACACUAAGCAUUAAGAAAAUCUAAAAUAUUAAUUAAAUUGCAUAUUUAUAAAUAUCAAUGAAGAACUAAAACAUAUUUUUUCUAACAUAUUUAAAAUGCGUUAUUUUUUUUAAAUCAUCAACAUCGUUUUCAUUACUGAUUUUCGUUGACAUUUAUUAGGUUAUUGCACUUGAUAAAGAGGUUAAAGUACUUAAAUUUUGUUGUCAAAUAACAAUUAUUACUUUAACUAAAAUAUAUCGAAAAAUUAGUUCGUUAAUUCUUAACACGUCUUGUAAAAAAUUUACCUUUUAACAUUUAAUAAAAAUUUCCAUAGACAAAAUUAUCGAUCAACCUGUUAUGAUAGCUGAAAAUGCUGCGAAGAGGCAAAAAUACAUUUUAAGGGGUUUUUGUUCCUUCAUUGAUCGUUUCUUACCACAACGGACGUUUUUUCUAAAUGAUAUUUAGUAUUGAUCUUAAUACGAUUCAAUUAACUGUAUCUUUACAGACUCUUUACCUGUACAGAACAUUUUCUUUUAUGUUUGUUCGUUUUAAUAUUAAUUGUAAGAACAACAACGACACUACUAAUUUUUUUUCUUUACAAUUAAUCAUUACAGGUUCAAGUUAACAUGAUUAUAUCUAAUACCUACAUAGUUUAAUAAUUAUAUGUACGUAAACGAAUAAAUUUGACGUGAUAUUUUUCGUAGCAGCAACAAAUGGAGGUCGUAUAGAUUCAAUAGAGGUCUACUUUAUCGACGCAUUAAUAUGUUCUGGAUCAACAACAGGAUUCACAGCGUUUUUAAAAUUCUUUAAUAAUUAUUGCUUUGACGUGAACUCAGAUAUUCUUCGAAUAUAUAUAUUAAUCAUAAUUACGAUUGAUGAAUUAUUUUUUACAAAAAGCUUUCGAUUUAAUAUAAUAAAAUAGAAUAUAAAAUUGAAUAUUUUUUUUUUAACAAAUAAAUUAAUAAAUAUAAAGAAAAUAAAAUGAUUUAGUUAUUAUUAUGUCCAAAAUUUAAGUUAAGACCUCUUUGCAGGGAUGAAAAAUUCAAUGCUUUCUCUUGCUCUCAUCCAUUCGUUCGUUUUCAGUCAUACUUGUCAAACAUCGAUAGACUUGCCAAUAUCACACACAUAACCUCUAAUUUAAAUAUCUUUUCUAAGAUAUCUAUACAUGCAUCGUGUUUAAAUAAAUCUUUCCCUUUAGAUACACAAACGCCAUCUUGGAUAUUGCACAAAUGUGCAAUAUUACACACAGUUGAGAUCACGAGCUGGAAACGUCAUGUCCCGAGUCGAAUUUUUCGCGAAAAAAAUCCUCUCAGGAUCCAUUUAAUGUACCAACGCAAACAGACCGUCACGCCGCAAGUGGAAAAGCUUUGCACUGUUUCAAAGAACGCAAUGCAGUCUUGUGAAUUAAUACAUUACAUGUAAUGUUUUCAUCUUAUGGGAUGUAUUGGCUGGCACAGUUAAGCAGUAUUGUCCGAUGUGCUUCAUUGGAUACAGGAAAAUAAUUUAACGAAGAUAUUUAUAUUCGCAUUGACACGGAUCAGAGUGACAAUCUAUAACUGACGGUAUUAAUUAAUAGCUCUAACUGUUUAUAUCUUACUUGGCAUGUCGAUUGACAUUUCUAUACGUCAUUAAAUCGAUUAGCAUUAUCGGUUAAUUGCUAACCUAAAUAGACUUAGCAUAACGUAUGACUAGUGAAUCAACACCUGACAUGUCAUACGAGUUUCUUACAAGCUAAGGACUAGAAUAGACUCUUCUGAUCUCCUUUGCAGGAUGAAAAAUUUCUAACGAAAAAUUGAAAAAAUCUCAACGGAAACUUACGUGACUAGAUUUUUAUUUUCCUUAAGUAAGUAAAGUUAUUAUUAAUAAGAUCUCGCACCAUUUCUUAUCUAUAGAUAAAUAGAUUCUUUUCACCUAACCUUACGCGGGAUACAUAUUUCGAUUAGCCACCGUUAAUGUCAACGGUCAUAUUUUUUUUUUUUUUUUAAAUAAAAGAAAAUGAAACGAAAACUUAUAUCUAUGACACGUUAUAAUAUAUCGCAAAGCGUUUGAACAUAUUCUUGCACCUUUAAUCUCGCACAAGAACAAAAUAUUAAAAACUAGAUUAAUUGCAGUCUCCCAUGCUCGCAUUAAUAAUUUAUACAAAUUAUAUGUUCGCUCUUUGCCUGGCAAAAUUCUCGAUACCUAUUUCAUUAUUAUUAUUUACUUACAUUUCUAAUAACCGACGAUUAUUCUGGAUAAACUACAUUUUUUGGAAACGACUAGAUAACAUUUGAUAUAGAUCAUCUGCAAGCUUAAACGAUAAGAUAUGCGCUGCACGUUUCUCCGAAUUAUAACGACUUUCUUAAUUAACAACUAUUGUCCUCUGAUCAUCGUGUUGAUACGACAGUCCUUAAACGAAUUAAACAUUUUAAAUACACUUGAUGAUUUAAUUCGACAGAAAAUAAUAUAAUUAAUAUAAAAUGAACAAAUAUUUAUACACAAGCAAUUCUUAUUUGACAAAAAUAGAAUAGAAUUAAACAAUGUAAUGCAAUAUAAUGCGUAACAAGUGAGUGAUUACUGAAUUUUAAAAAUCGUUGAUUCGUCUUUGAAACGCGCAACUUGAGCAAGGCAAAGCUCUUCACCGCGAGUGUGUAUUACUACUUAGCAAGCUAAACUGAACGUAAAAUCGGUAUUGUCCUCCCUUACAAAUUACUUCAUUUCAUACGUACAUUUCAUUUAACUGCUAUGCGUUACAUGAACACGCAGUGACGCCAGGCGUUUCGCGGGUCGUAGCCAUCCAAAAAAACUUGAAGUGAACACCAACACGAACGAUUUAACUGUUGACUGUUUAAUACUGAUGUGCGUUCGGAACUAUCAAUACUUAUAUAUCUUCGUUUCCUAUCUUAUAGGGUUACACGCGAUUAACCCUAUAACGUGUUGCGCUUGAUCGCGUAGAAAUUAUCCAUUCGAUUUACGCUGCGACUCGUAAAACGCCACGCGCCCAGUCACAGGCAUCGUUCUGCUUUCUGUAUACAUCUUAUUAUCAUUAACAAGUAAUUCUUCUUAAAUUUCGUACGUGUUACAGGUUACCUUACGUGGUUACCACCGACUUGAAAUUAAUCGGAAGAAUCCGAGUCAGAUUCCGCGCCAGCGUCCGACGCUUCGCCUUGCGUUUCAGGCGUUGUUUCAGGAAUUUUUCUCGUAUGACGCGUGCUUAAGGUAUCAUCGCAAGAUCCAUACCUGUACUCGUGUCGCGACAAAUUCUUAACAUACUUCUCCGGUGGAUUAUCACUGUCGUGAUUCUGAAAGCUAACGCUCCUUGCCGUCGUGUGAGAUACUUGGGUUGCAGGCAUAGUAAAUUCUACGUAACAGUAUUCGGCCAAAUUCUCAGGGAUCUGAUCGUAAGAGGUUAGGGCCAUUCUACAUAUCAACUGGUGAGUCGUGUACGCUCCUGAGAAUAUAUAUUAUCGAUGACGUUACAAAACGUUCGAGAAUAAGUUUAAAAAUAUUUUAAAGAUUUAAAAUAAUGCUCGUACCUUGGCCUUCUUUCGGUAAUCUGGGCAUUCUCCACACAAUGGCACGAUGUUGAUGCUCAUACUUCGCUUGUCCCGACGUUACCUCCAUCAGCUGAGGUUCUAGGUUAUCGACCGCGCCCAGAAAUCUUUCGAUACCCUUGAUCUUUCCCGUUCUUCUAUGGGCUGAUUUUACAGAUCCGUAUCUGAAGUGUUUUUCCACCCUGAACAAAUAUAUCCAACACUCUGGGAUCGGGAAACGGACCAUCACGUCUUCGCAAGGUACUUGGCCCAGUUUUCUCGACGCGAAACCCGGCACGAGAAUAUCGGCUCUCAAUUCUACCUAUUAAUUAAAAUAAAGAACAGGGUCAGAGCGUGUGAAUAUCGGAGCGAGGCCGUGACACUAUCGUCAAAGCAAAAGCGGAUAUUGAUUCGGUAGAAUACAAGUGCAAUGAAGUUGGAUUUUUAUAUAGUUGGAACAUGAGGCCUUACUCGAAAUCUCAUAAGUUCGAUAUAACAUGCAUCUGGUGGCUUGAACCUUCAAAAGUGUUAGUCACGUGUUAGAGACGCAAUGCAGUCUUUCAUUUUUCAUACUCGUCCUGCUGAACGCAAGAGUGGAAUUCGACGUUUUCAAGCCGGAUCCAUUCCUCGGUCACCACUGGAAUUAUAUCGUGUCUACCUACUACCUCUUUUCCCUGACGCCACAUGUCGUUUAUUCCCAACUCUACAUCGGGCAUUCCUGAUAUAAUCAAAAUUGUGAAUUAGAAAAUUUCAAUUUCAAUGAUAAUCUAUACGAUACGAUAAAAUGUAUUCCAAGAAAUUGACAAAGCAAUCUGGUCCUAUUUACCGGAAAGAAAGCCCAAGAAGAACAAUCGAACACGAGCUAUCUGUUUCUCAACCUGACCUUGCGCGUUCUGUUCCACGUAUAGUUCAUCUACGACUGUUAUCUGCACAUCCUCCGUCUUAUAAUUAAGCGCUCGAUCUCGAUGAGCGGGUAAUCUGAACAGAGCUUCUUCGAUCGCGCAGGAGAACUGUUUCAUGUCCUCGUAGCAUUGGGAACCAAGUUUGAACAGCUCGGAAAUCUAUAUGAAAAAAAAAGGAAUUCAUCAAUUUCGGAGAAGAAUUUUAUAUCUUACAACGCAGAAACGUCGUCAUACCUGUGGCGCGUGUUCCACAGGAAGACCAAGUUUCUUCAAGUCGCUUCCAAAUUCCUUAACCCCCUGAUAAUCACCCUGAAUGGCGUACGCGGCAAAUUGACUGAGCUUAUUCGUUAAUCUUUCCGCUUUGGUUACCUGACCAGGCCGUACUCCGGGUCGUUCCUUGUAGAAAAUGUAUUGCAACUUCACCGUAAAUAUUUUUCCAUACUGAUCAAACUGUUGCGCUCCGAUAUCAGAGACCGAGUAAGAAGGGACCAGGGGCAAUUCUUGGAAGGGAUCCUUAUCCUCCCUGCUGUUGAACAAUUGAAGCACAGGAUUGUCGCCUUGAUAGACCAACUUGACGAAAAUUUUCUUCCAGAAUCGUUGACCGGUUAUCUUUUUCUUGUUAGGCUGGCGUAGAUGCAUUUCCCAACCGUCACCAGUGUACGUUACCCUCGGGAAGUCUUCCAGAGGUUGGCUAACGUCUUCGUCGAACAGAGGUGUCGGAGGAGUUUCCUGGAAUUGGGAUAGAGGUUGAACAGUUUCCGUGACAGGAAUGGCGUCUUGCGCGGAUCCAGAUUUGUCGAAGGGGUUGAAACGUGGCGAGGUAUCGACGUAGGCGGUAUUUUGAGGGCUCUUCGGCGGUGGUGCCAGUACAGGGACAGCAGCUCCACCUUCGGUUCCAGAUUGAUCACCUUCUUUCGGUCUUUUGAACAGGAACAACGAAGAUACAAUGCACAAGCGUACAAUUUACACGCGAGACAAAAUUUAAAAUAAUAAUUCUUACUUGAUGAACACGCUGAAAUCCGGCCCCGCGUCCGAAUCUACAGACUCGGUUCUCUUUACGCUCGGUUCUGGUGGAGGUGCGGUCAUGCUCAAGAACGAAUCGAACCCGUCGCUCUCCCCGAAUCCUGUCACUGCCGUCUCCGACCCCGUUGCCGAGGAGUCGCCCCAAACUAGUAUAAAGUAAUACGUAAUCUUUGCUCUUCGAGGAUGAUAAAUAAGAUUGAUAAAUAACAAAAAGUUGGUUUACCAUCGCUGGACGUGUCCAUGGCGGUGGGCCCACCGCCGAAAGCGUCCAGGAAAGGAUCGCCCGCGUUGGUUUCCUGUUCCGCAGCCUUGUCAAACUUGGAGGCAAAAAUAUCGAAAGCAUCCCCGCCGCUCUCUGCCGUUUUGCCAGCUGCCAGAUUGUCCAACUGUUCCUCGGGCUUGUACGCCUCGCUGCUAGGGAAUUCGGCGCCGGGGGUCGGGCUGGUCGACCUCGCGGUAUCGGUAGGCUCACCAAAGUCGCCGAGCAAGUCGGAAGCGAAAGGCCCGCUGGGCUGAGCGGAGCUGAUCUCCGAGGUCGUGAACAGAGACUGCGCGGCGGACGUUCGCAUGGGCGUGGAAAAUGGCGCGACCACGGGAGGAGUCGUGUCCGCGACGGAGAAGAACGUGGACUCGGUCACGGACGUGGACGAUUGUUCGGUGGUCGAGAACAAUUCGCUCGACGACUGCAACGCGUCCGCGGCGAGGUCCGCGUCGACACCGGCCCUCUCCGUGUCGCUUCCCACGGCGCCCGUCGUCGACGAGACCGAGAGUCUCUUCUCGCUUGCCACGGACGCUGUCUCUUGAAACUCGUCCGCCUGCUGAACAGGGGACGCCUGCUGCUCCGUGAUACCGACGAACGGGUUGUCCUGGGUCGUGGCGCUGAUCAGCGUCACGCCGGUUCCCGAACUGGUCGUGUCCUCCGUGAUCGUAGAAGAGGAGAAUAUGGUGGUAGUCGUGGUGUCCGUGUUGGGCGCGUCGAACAGAUCCAAUAUGUCCCGAUUCUUCGGUGGCUCGACCGCCUUGCUGUUGUCGUCGGACAUCAAGUCGGGAACGUUCGAGUCGACGUCCAAGAAAUCUGCGAAACUGUGUUCCGGUGUCGGAGACGGAGAGUGCAUCAAAGUUGGGCUGGGCGUUCUGGUUGCCUGUGAGGAUGAGAUCAAGAUUGAGUGGAAUUAGAGAUUCGUGUACGUACGUUAUAUCGCGUGUAUAUAUACGAACUUGUAGUCGAUCCAGAAGAUGAUUCGAAGUGGCGUCCAUCGCGCCGGUCACGGACAGGAUCAAGUCUUUGGUGUUUUUGGGAGGUGCAGGAGGUUGCGGCCUGGGGGGAGGGGGCCUAGAUGGCGCCGCUCUCGCGUUCUUCGGCUGCUGGGCCGGUUGCUGCACGGUAGCCGGGGACGGUGGUGGCGCCGUCUGGCCGAAGAACUCCUCCGACGAAUGGGAGGAGAGCGGCGCGUCGAACAGAUUCGGCUCGUCGCCGCUCGUCACGAAUAUGUUUUUCGCCUCGGUCGAGAAAAUGUUGGCCGUGGUGGCGUCGGUGGUCGCCGCCUCGAAGCCGGUGCUGGGCGCGCUGCUGUCCGUGGCGAACGAGGCGAACGGAUUCGUCGAGUCGACGGUGAUUGCCGACGAUUGGUGAUACGAUUGGUCUCCGCCGAAAUUCAGGAACGGAUUCUCCCCGCCGCCAGAUGUCCCCGAAGCGUCGCCGAAAUCUUGGAGGAACGGAUUGGACGCCUGGCCCGCCAUGUUGUCGUUCGACUCGAUCCCGUCGUAGUCGUCCAUCAAGAAAGGGUUCCCUCCUUUCGAAUCCAUGUUGGAUCGAGCGUGGUCGAGUUCCGUGGUGAGGAUGAAACGGAAGCGUCGUUUAAAGGUGGUUCAAAGGGAGCGAAAGAAGAGAAAGAAGAAGAUGGACGUGCAAAGGAUAUACAUAUAUGUAUAUAUAUAUAUACGAAGAUGAAUUUUAUGCGCGGUUUAUUUCGUUGAAAAAUCAAAUUUGUUAAAAAAGUUGUGCAACGUACAAGCGUUUCUUUUCGACUAUAUGUCGUUAGCCGUAUCGUUGAUAAGAAGCUUAAAGUUCUAUAACAGGCAUAAUUUAACGAGUUAAUCGGCUACGAAUGGAGAAUUUAAUUAAUACCAACCUGAUGGAAACCUAUACAAACCUCUGGGACAACAAACAAUAUCGUUUAUCGAUAUAGUUGGAUUACGAAGAGAUAGAAACAGCUGUUCGAAUAAUUAGUUGAAAUAAAUAAUCUUUAAAUUAAAGAAAUGGAUCAACGAAAUAAACGAUGAAAUCGACAGAGUAACAAAUACGAAAUAGAAAUUUUCGUCGAUAAUUGAAGGAACAGGACAGAGCACGUGCUUCAGAUUUAUCGCAGGAUAGUCGUAUCGUGAUUGGCGUGCUAACAAACUCGACGACUAUCGCAAUUCCCUCCAUCUAAAAUCGAUAUCGUCACCGGUACACUCGUAACCGUAACGCUAGGAAACUGUAAUCGAUAAUGGGCGAGAAAUCGAUCGAGUCCUCGACGAUCUAACCUAUAUAUACGUCACUACGUUCUAUUUCUGCGAUUUCACGAAGAAAAGCAUUCUUUUCUCGGCUCGAUGAAACGUCGAAAGAUAAAACGGAUAACGAGAGUUUCUUUUAACGAAUAUAUUUUUAAUAUAUUUUAAUUUUCGAAGAAGAUAGAACGCAGGAACAUAUGGAUGGCGAUAUAUCUGACACGAUAAGUCAUAUUCCUAUCUUUCCUACUUUCCAGAUAAUUAAAUUUAACUUGAAUCGCGUCACCAGGUAAAUAGAGAUUAUCGACCCGUAUGAUUCGUACCUUUGCACAGGAAUUGACAUUUGUUAUCGAUCGAUUGCCAACCUGCAAACAGAAACUUCAAUUGUAGAACGAUCUGCCAAAUUGAAAAAUUUAAGGAAAAAAAUUUAUAGCGAAGAGAGGUCACGUAACUCGAUAGAGAAGAAAAAUUACGUGCAUGUCGAUUUAUAUUUAGAACAUCCAAACCCCAUAUGAAAUCCAGUAGCGCCCUGCUCCAACGCUUGUACGUGCUCUAAACAACGAUACUCUACGCUGUACAAAAAUAUUCCAAGCGAAGAUAGAAAAAGAUAGUUACUUAAAAAGAAAAAAAGAAAAGAGGAAAACACAGAAGAAUAGAAAUUCUGAACGAGAUCAAAUCGAGAAUUCUAUUUAGCAUAGCACAGAGAAAAUCGACGAUGCGGCCAAGAAUAUUGGACCAUAUUGGAAAACAAUCGAACGUGGCUCUAGCUUUGCUCGUGACGUAAUUGAGAAAGUUUCGGCGAAGAGCGUUGCUCCAAUAUCCCGAACACUUGUCCAUAGUGUCUCUCUGAAGGCGCACGCGUAAUACCGAGCGUUGAAACUCCAGCCUGAAACGGAGAAUUCCUUUAAGAGGAACGAAAAGGAACCGUCGAACAAAUUGUCAGGAUAACGAAACAGGCCGCUUAUAUAUGUACAUAUAUAUAUGUAUAUUUAAAGACGUUCCAAGGCUAGAAAGCUAGGUGUGUAUCGACCAAGCCAAGUUCUCAAUGAGCAGUUUCAUUAUCGUCUUAGCAACGAUCAUUGCUGCGUCAGCUAUACCUACGCACGAAGCCGCUAUCCAUCCAACACUAUAAAAUAUAUUAGUUUACAGACAAAAUGCUUCGAGUUUCGUGCGACGGAACGUUCAAGAUUGUAGGAAGAUUUGCUUAACGUCCAAUUGGAAAAACUGUAAGGAAAAAUAAAUCUUGAACGAAGAGAAAACGAGCUAAGAGACGUAGAGCCUCGAUUCGCUGCUCGUACGUAGUUGAAAAGGAUAGGAUUAUUACGAGAGCGAGUGAAGUGUAGUUUCCGAGACGGAUCAAUCAGGAGGCAACGAUGAAAGCGUAUAGGUGACCACGUAUCGUUGCGACCACGUUUUGCACUGGUGUUCGCGAACCGCUAUCUAAUCCUCGUCAGCCACAUCGGUACGACGCACAUUUUUUUCGAGUCAUCCCGCGAUCGAGAUUCUCUCUAUCUCUCUUUUUAUUCACUUGGAUGAAUCGUCGAAGGCACACACUCGAAGAAAGCACCGGUAAAAGAAAAAAAGAAAUAGAAAAAAGAAAGGAAGAAAUUGGGGUUGAAAUUGAGAUGACUGUGCGUCAAGAAGAAUAUAGAAAAUGAGAGAGUCGGAUGGAAACUGUCCGGGGGAAGAGGAAGAACGAGGUCGAUGAGGAAACCGGCGGAUCGAUCGGUAACCGUUGAAGGGAAGCUCGCGAAUACGAGGAGAGAUUGUGGAGACUCUGUGUGGAGUUACGUUUCCCCCUACGAUUCGUGAAACAGGAAACGGCGAGCGGUGAAGAGCUGCAAAGGCCCUGCCGAAAGCGAAGCCGACUCACCUCGUACUCUCCUGCGGGUCGAGCUAUUUCCAGCAUCGAUCCGUUUCGCGGAGAAGAAACAUGCGCGUACACGACACCCACCCCCGCCUCCCCCGCCCUUAACGUCGCCCUCUCUAUUUCUCCGCUGCCCCCUUCUUCCUCUUCUGGCCACCCUUCGCUAGCAAUGGCCUCAAAACACGGACGCGAAACACUCGUCCCGUCGUCGACUUCAACCGGCACUAUCGAUUCAAACAUAUUCGUCCCUCCAUCAAUUUCCACCUUCGUUCGAGUUUCUCGCGGAAGAGAGAGAAAGGAUUAGAGACGCGCAACUAGUCCUUUCCUUUGGAAUUUUCAUUCGAAUGUUCGCAUGAAUUUCCUUCGGAAAGUAUACAUGUAAUCGUGUCCUUGUGACGUUUUCCUGCUUCUUUGUGUACCUUUCGUUCGAUCUAGCAGAAAUUCAUCGUGCUCGUGGCUAAGAAACUUGCGCAGAAAAUGAUCUCGAUUAUUGAUUCUCCAACCUCCAUUUGUUGAAUUGAAAGGAUUCGAAGCGUGCUGAUGCUAGCACUAGUCAUCUUUACUAAUGAUCGUGUGAUUAUUUUUCUUUUUUUCUUUUUUUUUUUUUUUUUUUUUGAUAUUCAAUAAAAAAUAAAACAUUAUAAAGAAGGUCAAAAAAAAAGACGUUGAAUCGAUUUACAAUGUAGUAUAGCUGAGAUCGAAGAAAGUUUUUGUAUAUCGUAGAGCAAUGGGAUAGGAACUGCUAGGAGCAACGAGAAGCUUCGAUAAAUCGUAAACUUCUCGAGAAAAGAUAAAAAUAGAAACAAAACGUUCGUAGCAUAACAUGAGAAUUUCCUGUACAGUCUGUUUUAUUACUGGGAUCAAGUCAAAUUUCCGCAAUUUAUAAUGAUACGAUAUUUUUGAAAAAGAAAUUGAAAACGUUCAUCGCUCUUGUUACCUUGAUUAUCUUGCGCCUUAAAAAAAAAAUUUAUUAAUAACUGUCAACUCCUCGAUUAUUUAUGUUAUAUUCUUUCUCUUUUAUUCUUUCUCUUAUAUUCAUAUCUUAAAAUUAAAAUUCUAAUAAUUCAUCCCGAUCCUUUAAUU